RNAcentral lists this ribosomal RNA (562 nucleotides) under Cercospora helianthicola. RNAcentral's name for it is "eukaryotic LSU rRNA". The stretch from base 202 to 355 matches the Rfam family "5.8S ribosomal RNA". Lineage: Eukaryota; Fungi; Ascomycota; Dothideomycetes; Mycosphaerellales; Mycosphaerellaceae. The record is from RNAcentral.
UGAAGUAAAAAGUCGUAACAAGGUCUCCGUAGGUGAACCUGCGGAGGGAUCAUUACUGAGUGAGGGCCUUCGGGCUCGACCUCCAACCCUUUGUGAACACAACUUGUUGCUUCGGGGGCGACCCUGCCGUUUCGACGGCGAGCGCCCCCGGAGGCCUUCAAACACUGCAUCUUUGCGUCGGAGUUUAAGUAAAUUAAACAAAACUUUCAACAACGGAUCUCUUGGUUCUGGCAUCGAUGAAGAACGCAGCGAAAUGCGAUAAGUAAUGUGAAUUGCAGAAUUCAGUGAAUCAUCGAAUCUUUGAACGCACAUUGCGCCCCUUGGUAUUCCGAGGGGCAUGCCUGUUCGAGCGUCAUUUCACCACUCAAGCCUCGCUUGGUAUUGGGCGCCGCGGUGUUCCGCGCGCCUCAAAGUCUCCGGCUGAGCUGUCCGUCUCUAAGCGUUGUGAUUUCAUUAAUCGCUUCGGAGCGCGGGCGGUCGCGGCCGUUAAAUCUUUUAUAAGGUUGACCUCGGAUCAGGUAGGGAUACCCGCUGAACUUAAGCAUAUCAAUAAGCGGAGGAA